Molecule: non-coding RNA, 205 nt
Organism: Oryza glumipatula
Lineage: Eukaryota; Viridiplantae; Streptophyta; Magnoliopsida; Poales; Poaceae
Source: Rfam
AAAAAGACAAACCUGAUUUCCGUAUCUAACAUUUGACCAUCCGUCUUAUCUGAAAAAAAUAUAAAAAAAAUUAAAAAUAUAAGUCACGUAUAAAGUAUUAAUUAUGUUUUAUUAUCUAACAACAAUAAAAAUACUAAUUAUAAAAAAAUUUCAUAUAAGACGGACAGUCAAACGUUAGCACGGAAACAUAAGGUUUGUUUUUAUU